CUUCUCUUGGCCAGGAGGGCAGAGGAGGAGAGGAGACGACUGGAAGCGGAGCGAGCCAGUCGUGAGGUGAUUAACGUGUCCCAGCUGGUGAUCCCUGCUGAACUGGGAGGGCUGCUGCAGGCCACUGCAGCUGGUAAGGAGUUGCAUUCAGAGUGCCUGGCUUUGGUUCAGGCUCCGAGAGUACAGGUCGAUCCUCAGCUCACUCUCCCUCUGGAUAUCAACAACCACCUAAUGAC
Molecule: long non-coding RNA, 236 nt
Organism: Pygocentrus nattereri (red-bellied piranha)
Lineage: Eukaryota; Metazoa; Chordata; Actinopteri; Characiformes; Serrasalmidae
Source: Ensembl